CCUACGGGAGGCAGCAGUAAGGAAUAUUGGUCAAUGGGCGCAAGCCUGAACCAGCCAUGCCGCGUGCAGGAAGACGGCCCUAUGGGUUGUAAACUGCUUUUGAACAAGAGAAAACCUCGGUACGUGUACCGAGCUGAUAGUAUUGUUAGAAUAAGCAUCGGCUAACUUCGUGCCAGCAGCCGCGGUAAGACGAAGGAUGCAAGCGUUAUCCGGAUUCAUUGGGUUUAAAGGGUGCGUAGGCGGCCUGAUAAGUCAGUGGUGAAAUCUCUCAGCUUAACUGAGAAACUGCCAUUGAUACUGUCGGGCUUGAGUACAGAUGAUGUGGGCGGAAUAUGACAUGUAGUGGUGAAAUACUUAGAUAUGUCAUAGAACACCGAUUGCGAAGGCAGCUCACAAAACUGUAACUGACGCUGAGGCACGAAAGUGCGGGGAUCAAACAGGAUUAGAUACCCUGGUAGUCCGCACCGUAAACGAUGAUUACUCGUUGUUGGCAAUAUGACCGUCAGCGACCAAGCGAAAGCGAUAAGUAAUCCGCCCUGGGGAGUACGCCGGCAACGGUGAAACGUCAAAGGAAUUGACGGCUUGAGGACGNGCGAGGACGACACGAGGGAGGAGG
This 616-nucleotide ribosomal RNA is filed under the name uncultured bacterium. RNAcentral describes it as "bacterial SSU rRNA". It matches the Rfam family "Bacterial small subunit ribosomal RNA", at positions 338 to 951 of the family's 1533-position model. The record is from RNAcentral.